AGUCGAGGGGUAGAGGCUUUCGGGCCUUGAGACCGGCGCACGGGUGCGUAACGCGUAUGCAAUCUGCCUUGUACAAAGGGAUAGCCCAGAGAAAUUUGGAUUAAUACCUUAUAGUAUGUUGAGGGGACAUCCUCUUAUCAUUAAAGAUUUAUCGGUACAAGAUGAGCAUGCGUCCCAUUAGCUAGUUGGUGUGGUAACGGCAUACCAAGGCUAUGAUGGGUAGGGGUCCUGAGAGGGAGAUCCCCCACACUGGUACUGAGACACGGACCAGACUCCUACGGGAGGCAGCAGUGAGGAAUAUUGGACAAUGGGCGCAAGCCUGAUCCAGCCAUGCCGCGUGCAGGAUGAAGCAUCUAUGGUGUGUAAACUGCUUUUAUACGGGAAGAAACCCUGGCUCGUGAGCCAGAUUGACGGUACCGUAGGAAUAAGGAUCGGCUAACUCCGUGCCAGCAGCCGCGGUAAUACGGAGGAUCCAAGCGUUAUCCGGAAUCAUUGGGUUUAAAGGGUCCGUAGGCGGUUUUAUAAGUCAGUGGUGAAAUCCGGUAGCUCAACUAUCGAACUGCCAUUGAUACU
RNAcentral lists this ribosomal RNA (573 nucleotides) under uncultured Bacteroidota bacterium. Its description in RNAcentral is "bacterial SSU rRNA". It matches the Rfam family "Bacterial small subunit ribosomal RNA", at positions 60 to 634 of the family's 1533-position model. Lineage: Bacteria; Pseudomonadati; Bacteroidota. The record is from RNAcentral.